RNAcentral lists this long non-coding RNA (1342 nucleotides) under Marmota monax (woodchuck). The record is from RNAcentral. Lineage: Eukaryota; Metazoa; Chordata; Mammalia; Rodentia; Sciuridae.
CUAACCAGUACACUACAUGCAUGGAAUUCCACAACCCAUACAGAACUUUCCCAGAAUCAGCUUGGGCCUGACAGCAGGUAGCUCUGCUUUCUUAACUCUUUGAGACAUGCAGUGCAUGUCCGUGGCAUAUGAGGAAAGAAAAUGGCUCUUUAUUACUAAUAGGAAACAAGGGCAGCCUGGAUUUUCAUGCUAGGGACUUCCUCUGUGCUUAGUUAUUUAUUUAUUUAUUUAUUUAUUUCUAUUAUGCUUUCUUGACAUUGACAUGGGUGACAUUGUCUAAAGGAAAUUGUGGGUCAUGUGAAUUUUUCCCAACGUUACAGACUUUGAAGGAUUGUGUUCAUUCCAAUAUUGGGAUGGGGAAACUGUUUGUUCCAUGCACACCUAUUGCUUGGUCUUGGCAGUUGCUGAUACACUUGUCUCACUCACAGUCCCAAAGUUGAGAAUUUACACUGGAAACCAUGAACCCUCACUUUCCCAAGCAGAGACACUGUUAAUGUUACGAUGGCGCAUAAAUACCUCAACUGUCUGGGCUGAGAGAAGGGGCUGCAGGUUUAUAAGAGAGCAGCUACAGUCCUCAUUCCGUGUGGUUCCAACCAUCUGACAACAGGACUUGACAUUCUAGUCUCUCUCACUGUGGUAAAGAAAUGUUACUGUUUAAUUCAUAUCCAAAGUCAUAAAUACAGCUUGUAAAUUCUACUAACUUGUUUCAUUUUUUGUUUGGUCCUUGAGAAAUUCAACUUGCAUUUUGCAGAUGGUGAUUUCUGGUGUCGUUUUCUGCUACUUUUUUUUUCCUGUAUAGAAUUGCUGUACUUGUUAAAGUUUGUUUGUUGUGUGGUUUUUAAUUCCCAUUGGUGCACUGUACAAUGGGGUGUUGUAACGUACCAUGAAGAAAGAAAUAAUAUGCAGAUGUAUUAUGGAGUGUAUUUUAUUUUUAAAUGACUGUGAUGUUGACAAUAUAUUGAUUUGUCAAAAUUCUAAGGGAAAAUUCUAAAUUUACCAAAAUGUGUAUAUUUUAAUAAAUGCAUAAAGCUUUUUGGUGUGCCUUUAAAUUUAAAAAUGAGUUUAUAAAGAAAAUUGGAAACAAAAGUGUCUUACUUUAAAAAUAUCCAUAGUAAUGGAAAGCUCUUACAUAGGAGACAAUGAGAGAAAGAAAGAGGGAAAAAAAUCAAAGAAGCUUCCCAUAUUAUACUAACCUUAACAAGUAUCUGAAGUCUGUUACUUUUUUUUACAUCCUAAAAUGGAGAUGAAUGAGUGAGUUUUGCCUUAAGUGUUUUAAUUUUCCUUGUAGAAGAGACAGAUAAAUAUCUCAUUUUGAAACUUAUUGCAUUAUUGUGGAAAAUUC